CCUACGGGGGGCAGCAGUGGGGAAUAUUGGACAAUGGGCGAAAGCCUGAUCCAGCCAUGCCGCGUGUGUGAAGAAGGCCUUCGGGUUGUAAAGCACUUUCAGUGGGGAAGAAAGCCUUGGGGCUAAUACCCUCGAGGAAGGACAUCACCCACAGAAGAAGCACCGGCUAACUCCGUGCCAGCAGCCGCGGUAAUACGGAGGGUGCGAGCGUUAAUCGGAAUUACUGGGCGUAAAGCGCGCGUAGGCGGUCUGAUAAGCCGGUUGUGAAAGCCCCGGGCUCAACCUGGGAACGGCAUCCGGAACUGUCAGGCUAGAGUGCAGGAGAGGUAGGUAGAAUUCCCGGUGUAGCGGUGAAAUGCGUAGAGAUCGGGAGGAAUACCAGUGGCGAAGGCGGCCUUCUGGACUGACACUGACGCUGAGGUGCGAAAGCGUGGGUAGCAAACAGGAUUAGAUACCCGGGUAGUC
RNAcentral lists this ribosomal RNA (465 nucleotides) under Vreelandella stevensii. Its description in RNAcentral is "partial 16S ribosomal RNA". It matches the Rfam family "Bacterial small subunit ribosomal RNA", at positions 338 to 795 of the family's 1533-position model. The record is from RNAcentral. Lineage: Bacteria; Pseudomonadati; Pseudomonadota; Gammaproteobacteria; Oceanospirillales; Halomonadaceae.